AUGGAAUGUAUGGCUGCUUCAUACUUCCAGGAGGUCUACACUAAAGACCCUACUAUGUCCCCUGAUCUGCUUUUAGAUCAUAUUACGCCGAAGGUUACUGAUGCAAUGAAUGAGAGUCUGUUGGCUCCCUUCUCAGAUGAUGAGAUUUCAGAUGCUUUGUUUCAAAUUGGAUCGUUGAAGGCACCCGGUUCAGAUGGUUUUCUUUCCCGGUUCUACCAACGGAAUUGGGGAGUUUUAAAAGGUGAAAUUAUAGAGGCGGUGAGACAAUUUUUUGUGACGGGGCGUAUGCCAAAUGGGGUAAAUGAUACCUCCAUUGUGCUAAACCCCAAAAUUCAGCACCCUUCUUCUUUAAAGGAUUUCUGUCUCAUUUCCUUAUGCAAUGUGAUAUACAAGAUAGUUUCAAAACACAUGGUAAAUCGCCUUCGCCCACUACUUGCAAAUCUUAUUUCUGACAAUCAAAGUGCUUUCAUUCCGGGUUGGCUCAUUUCGGAUAAUUCCAUUAUCGCCUUCGAAUGCAUUCACCAUAUUCAAACCCCCUGGAGAUAA
Molecule: ribosomal RNA, 546 nt
Filed under: Triticum aestivum (bread wheat)
Lineage: Eukaryota; Viridiplantae; Streptophyta; Magnoliopsida; Poales; Poaceae
Description: partial small subunit ribosomal RNA
Source: RNAcentral